This 428-nucleotide ribosomal RNA is filed under the name uncultured Symbiodinium. RNAcentral describes it as "partial Bacterial large subunit ribosomal RNA". It matches the Rfam family "Bacterial large subunit ribosomal RNA", at positions 178 to 600 of the family's 2925-position model. The record is from RNAcentral. Lineage: Eukaryota; Dinophyceae; Suessiales; Symbiodiniaceae.
AGCGAACGCGGUGAACUGAAACAUCUAAGUAACCGCAGGAAGAGAAAGAAAAAUCGAUUUCCUCAGUAGCGGCGAGCGAACGGGAAAUAGCCCAAACCGUCGAGGUUUCCUCGGCGGGGUUGUAGGGCCUCUCACAUGGGAGUCACAAAGCCGACAGGAAGCUGAACCUUCUGGAAAGGAGGGCCAUAGCGGGUGACAGCCCCGUAAGCGAAUCCUGUCGGCCUCCCGAGGGGUACCUGAGUAGGUCGGGUCACGUGGAACCCCGACUGAAUCUACGGGGACCAUCCCGUAAGGCUAAACACAUCCUGAUGACCGAUAGUGAACUCAGUAUGGCGACUGAAAGAUGAGAAGAACCCCUGUUAGGGGAGGUAUGUGAACCUGAAACCAUACGCUUACAAGCGGUCGGAGCUUCUUUGUGAAGUGACGGC